RNAcentral lists this ribosomal RNA (253 nucleotides) under uncultured bacterium. Its description in RNAcentral is "partial 16S ribosomal RNA". It matches the Rfam family "Bacterial small subunit ribosomal RNA", at positions 524 to 776 of the family's 1533-position model. The record is from RNAcentral.
UACGAAGGGGGCUAGCGUUGUUCGGAAUCACUGGGCGUAAAGGGUGCGCAGGCGGCCGAGUGUGUGAGGCGUGAAAGCCCGGGGCUUAACCCCGGAAUUGCACCUCAAACUACACGGCUAGAGCAUUGGAGAGGGUAGCAGAAUUCAUGGUGUAGCAGUGAAAUGCGUAGAUAUCAUGAGGAAUACCAGAGGCGAAGGCGGCUACCUGGACAAUUGCUGACGCUCAGGCACGAAAGCGUGGGGAGCAAAAGGG